RNAcentral lists this ribosomal RNA (353 nucleotides) under Chaetoceros neogracilis. RNAcentral describes it as "partial Eukaryotic large subunit ribosomal RNA". It matches the Rfam family "Eukaryotic large subunit ribosomal RNA", at positions 3040 to 3348 of the family's 3401-position model. The record is from RNAcentral. Lineage: Eukaryota; Bacillariophyta; Thalassiosirophyceae; Chaetocerotales; Chaetocerotaceae.
GGAACCGCUGGCACAGACCUCUGGUACAAUACUUGUUCGAUCGAACAGUGGUAUGACGCUACGUCUGUUGGAUUAUGCCUGAACGCCUCUAAGGCCGUAACCGAGCUCAAUGUAGUAACACUAAUGGGGCAUAUUAUGCAAUAACAUCAGGUCUCUAUAGUCUCCAUUACAUGCGGUCUCUCUCGGGAGGCCGUUAUGGACAGGACCCAUAUUCGGUGUGAUGCUUAUCAAUAGCGAGGUGGCUUAUUACAGUCACCUCAAUAUGCAAUCAUCUGCCGGUACCAUUACAUAUUGUAUAUGCUCAGAAUCAAUUGUAAACGACUUUGGUAGAGUGGGGUGCCGCAAGUGUUAGA